RNAcentral lists this long non-coding RNA (382 nucleotides) under Lathyrus oleraceus (garden pea). Its description in RNAcentral is "Pisum sativum (pea) long non-coding RNA (PSAT_LNC018881)". Lineage: Eukaryota; Viridiplantae; Streptophyta; Magnoliopsida; Fabales; Fabaceae. The record is from RNAcentral.
UUUUUUGAAUUUGCAAUCCAUCGGGAUGCCCUAACUUUUUUCUAAGUCAAUUUUUUUUGUUUUUUAUUACUUAGUGGGAUUCCUUUUUUUUGGAACAAUUCUUGUGAGAUUUAACUUUUAAUUCAGGAAAGUCAUGACUGCCAUGUGAACUGUUGUGAGCUUUUAUGUUUUCGUUGCUUCCUUGAUGUUGAAUGAAGUACACGAGGAAGAGGAUGUUAUGAGCUUUAUCUUUAUUACUUCCUUGAUGUUGGAUGAUGUGCGCGAGGAAGAUGGUGUACCUAAACCUCUUAUUGGUGUGAUUAUAUGGAAUAAUUCUCUUGCAUUAGGGUGCAUCGUCGAGUUAAUUGAAACUACCCUGCCCUUGGUUAAGAUUAGUUUUUUU